UCAGAACGAACGCUGGCGGCAGGCCUAACACAUGCAAGUCGAACGGAUCCUUCGGGAUUAGUGGCAGACGGGUGAGUAACGCGUGGGAAGCUACCUUGUGGUAGGGAACAAACAGUUGGAAACGACUGCUAAUACCCUAUGAGCCCUAUGGGGGAAAGAUUUAUCGCCAUGAGAUGUGCCCGCGUUAGAUUAGCUAGUUGGUAAGGUAAUGGCUUACCAAGGCGACGAUCUAUAGCUGGUCUGAGAGGAUGAUCAGCCACACUGGGACUGAGACACGGCCCAGACUCCUACGGGAGGCAGCAGUGGGGAAUAUUGGACAAUGGGGGCAACCCUGAUCCAGCCAUGCCGCGUGAGUGAUGACGGCCUUAGGGUUGUAAAGCUCUUUCAGCAGUGAAGAUAAUGACAUUAACUGCAGAAGAAGCCCCGGCUAACUUCGUGCCAGCAGCCGCGGUAAUACGAAGGGGGCUAGCGUUGUUCGGAAUCACUGGGCGUAAAGCGUACGUAGGCGGACUGAUCAGUCAGGGGUGAAAUCCCGGGGCUCAACCCCGGAACUGCCUUUGAUACUGUCAGUCUUGAGAUCGAGAGAGGUGAGUGGAACUCCGAGUGUAGAGGUGAAAUUCGUAGAUAUUCGGAAGAACACCAGUGGCGAAGGCGGCUCACUGGCUCGAWAMCUGA
Molecule: ribosomal RNA, 675 nt
Filed under: Pseudovibrio sp.
Lineage: Bacteria; Pseudomonadati; Pseudomonadota; Alphaproteobacteria; Hyphomicrobiales; Stappiaceae
Description: bacterial SSU rRNA
Rfam family: Bacterial small subunit ribosomal RNA
Source: RNAcentral